This is a long non-coding RNA of Mytilus californianus (California mussel), 778 nucleotides long. RefSeq lists it as uncharacterized. The record is from RefSeq and is a predicted model, not a curated record. Lineage: Eukaryota; Metazoa; Mollusca; Bivalvia; Mytilida; Mytilidae. The transcript has 2 exons.
AUUCAUAAGUAUUAUAUCAAUACGCUGACGAAUAUAAAGUAUCAGUAAUAUGUUACCGUUGUGGUGAAAUUGAGCACUUACCCGGGGAUUUUGUUAAGCUUUUGUGGCUGGCAAUGAAGUCACGUGAUUUACCGGCAGGACCCUUGUCAGCCAUUCAAUUUGCAGCAGCUAGACAAGUCGUAGUAUAUUAUAGAGGUUUCUUUAUACCGUUUUCAAAUAUUUGGAAAUCUAAAGAGAUAUGGCAGUGCGGAUGGAAGUUUAUAGGCUUUUAAGAACAGACGAGAUUCCAGCGAAUGGCCUCUCUGCCAAAGCUCCUUACUAUCCAAGUUCAAUAGUGCGUCAUGUUGCAUAUGGAUCCAACGGCCAAUCCCGCUUUAUAUCGGCCUGUGGUUCUCUAGAAUGUGCUAUUAACUUUAGAGCAAAAAAUCAACAAGAACAUGGACCGAUUGUUAAGAUCAGUAUUACUGAGGGAAUGACAUUUUAUGACCUACGUACUUUUGGACAAAGACAACAGAUUUUGCUGUCAGAAAACGUGAUUCAUCCACAAGAUACCAUAGACAGGUUCCAUAAUUUCGCUGGAGCGUUUCAAGAAAUUCUAAUAGAAGACCGUGUUCCUCCGGAGAACAUCUUGGUCUUGUAGGUUUAGAUAUGCUAUAGCAUUGAGUGCAAGAAAGACUUUUUAAAGCUAGUGUUUCAUGAGAAGAGAGAGAUUUUUGAUAUUUUUUUAAGAUUGAAUUAUUUCCGUUUGUACGGUUAAUGAAAUAAAGUUUAGAAAUUA